UGAACGCUGGCGGCGUGCUUAACACAUGCAAGUCGAACGAGAACGGCUCUAGCUUGCUAGAGUGUCAGCUAAGUGGCGCACGGGUGAGUAAUAUAUAGGUAAUCUGCCCCGAAGAGCGGGAUAACGUCUGGAAACGGACGCUAAUACUGCAUACUCCUUCUUGACAUAAGUUGAGAAGGGAAAUGAACUUCGCUUCGGGAUGAGCCUUUAUCGCAUCAGCUAGUUGGUAAGGUAACGGCUUACCAAGGCUAUGACGCGUAGCUGAUCUGAGAGGAUGAUCAGCCACACUGGUACUGAGACACGGACCAGACUCCUACGGGAGGCAGCAGUGGGGAAUAUUGCACAAUGGACGAAAGUCUGAUGCAGCAACGCCGCGUGGAGGAUGACACAUUUCGGUGCGUAAACUCCUUUUAUAGGUCAAGAUAAUGACGGUAGCCUAUGAAUAAGCACCGGCUAACUCC
RNAcentral lists this ribosomal RNA (461 nucleotides) under uncultured bacterium. Its description in RNAcentral is "bacterial SSU rRNA". It matches the Rfam family "Bacterial small subunit ribosomal RNA", at positions 30 to 504 of the family's 1533-position model. The record is from RNAcentral.